UGUUAGCCUCUGUUGGCAGUC
Molecule: unclassified non-coding RNA, 21 nt
Filed under: Mus musculus (house mouse)
Lineage: Eukaryota; Metazoa; Chordata; Mammalia; Rodentia; Muridae
Description: oocyte_clustered_small_RNA7793
Source: RNAcentral